Molecule: ribosomal RNA, 253 nt
Filed under: uncultured bacterium
Lineage: Bacteria
Description: partial 16S ribosomal RNA
Rfam family: Bacterial small subunit ribosomal RNA
Source: RNAcentral
UACGGGGGGGGCAAGCGUUGUUCGGAAUUACUGGGCGUAAAGGGCUCGUAGGCGGCCAACUAAGUCCGACGUGAAAUCCCCAGGCUUAACCUGGGAACUGCGUCGGAUACUGGUUGGCUUGAAUCCGGGAGAGGGAUGCGGAAUUCCAGGUGUAGCGGUGAAAUGCGUAGAUAUCUGGAGGAAUACCGGUGGCGAAGGCGGCAUCCUGGACCGGCAUUGACGCUGAGGAGCGAAAGCCAGGGGAGCAAACGGG